GACUUCCUGUAGACUGCAGCCGGCGGCUGUCUGUGUUUCUCCAUCGCCGGCCUGCUUCUGGUUAGCGCAGCUUUUCUCAAACAGAUGGAAGACAUUAAAGAGAAAGACAACAGGAACCGCACAUCAUGUGAUAAUGAGGGCCAAUCAGCUAAAGGUCAGAGGUAAAACAGGCAUCCCCAAUUGGCUGUGCAGUGAACUGUGAGAGAUGGAGUGGAGUUUGUUCAGGUCAACUGUUCACUCAUAUGCUUUUUCUAAUUCAUUUGUGGACUGAAAAGCACCAUGAAGCAGCAAAAGGACCACUGAGCUUGGAGAAAAUUCCGGUCUUGUGGGCAAACAGAGCGGGAAUGUCAUCUGGACAAGAGAGAGAGAGAUCUCAACAGGCUCCAAGUAAUGACACAAACACAUUACUGAGGUGAUAUUUUAACCUAAUAUGAAGUGUAUGGAACUAUA
Long non-coding RNA from Paramisgurnus dabryanus, 450 nucleotides. RefSeq lists it as uncharacterized. The record is from RefSeq and is a predicted model, not a curated record. NCBI's taxonomy places the organism in Eukaryota, Metazoa, Chordata, Actinopteri, Cypriniformes, Cobitidae.